Molecule: ribosomal RNA, 602 nt
Filed under: uncultured Enterococcus sp.
Lineage: Bacteria; Bacillati; Bacillota; Bacilli; Lactobacillales; Enterococcaceae
Description: bacterial LSU rRNA
Rfam family: Bacterial large subunit ribosomal RNA
Source: RNAcentral
GUAGCGGCGAGCGAAACGGAAACAGCCCAAACCAACGAGCUUGCUUGUUGGGGUUGUAGGACUCAGCUGUGGUAGCUGUUGUGAAUAGUUGAAUGACCUGGAAAGGCCAGCUAAAGAGGGUAAAAGCCCCGUAAACGAAAUUGACAACACACCUAUGAGUAUCCUGAGUACGGCGGAACACGAGAAAUUCCGUCGGAAUCCGGGAGGACCAUCUCCCAAGGCUAAAUACUCUCUAGUGACCGAUAGUGAACCAGUACCGUGAGGGAAAGGUGAAAAGCACCCCGGAAGGGGAGUGAAAUAGAACCUGAAACCGUGUGCCUACAAAAAGUCAGAGCCCGUUAAUGGGUGAUGGCGUGCCUUUUGCAGAAUGAACCGGCGAGUUACGAUUGCAUGCGAGGUUAAGCUGAAGAAGCGGAGCCGUAGCGAAAGCGAGUCUGAAUAGGGCGAGUGAGUAUGUAGUUGUAGACCCGAAACCAUGUGACCUACCCAUGUCCAGGUUGAAGGUGUGGUAAAACGCACUGGAGGACCGAACCCACGUACGUUGAAAAGUGCGGGGAUGAGGUGUGGGUAGCGGAGAAAGUCCAAACGAACUUGGAGAUAGC